This is a long non-coding RNA of Xenia sp. Carnegie-2017, 599 nucleotides long. RefSeq lists it as uncharacterized. The record is from RefSeq and is a predicted model, not a curated record. The transcript has 2 exons. Lineage: Eukaryota; Metazoa; Cnidaria; Anthozoa; Malacalcyonacea; Xeniidae.
UUGUAUGUGGGUCAGACCACACGUCAUUUACACAUCGGAUUUUCGGAGCAUAUGAGAAUAUCUCCAUUUGAAGGUAAUUUUACAAAUAAAUGGAAACAAAUUUCUUAAAACAAAUAACAAGAGUUUUGAAAACAAGAAGUAAACAGAAGUGAAUGCCAACUUUUCCAAAACAUUAAGGACAAAAAAUAAAGAAAGCUUCGUUUCACUUUAAAUAAUCCUUUAUAAUAAACCUUUUAUUAACUUCGUUUAUUCGCUCUUUGAGCCUGCGAGGUCUGCACAUAAAGAAUUAAAUGAUCCGACAUUUCUCUUUAAAGACUUCCCAAUUAGUAAAGGCCUUAUAAUACAACUAAUUUUAAUGUGGUAUUUCGAAAUGUAUGUGUUUCUACAAGUUUUCUGUCCACCUCUUCACAUCAAAACGUAGACUUAUGGACAGCACUUAAGAGCUAAUUAACAAAGAUAUAUUACGAAAAAAAUUAUAAAAAUUGCCUAAAUUAAAAUCAUCCUAUCUAGUUUUAAUUUAGUUUGAUAUAAUAUUUUACAAAGUGGCCGUCCAAUGCAUAAACUAAAAGUUUGUCAUAUACCAAAUUAAAAUUGAUAUC